GCCCAGGUGGUGGAACGGCAGACACGCUACGUUCAGGUCGUAGUGAGCGCAAGCUCGUAAGGGUUCAAAUCCCUUCUUGGGCACCA
Molecule: transfer RNA, 86 nt
Filed under: Candidatus Altimarinota bacterium
Lineage: Bacteria; Candidatus Altimarinota
Description: tRNA-Leu
Rfam family: tRNA
About the family: Transfer RNA (tRNA) molecules are approximately 80 nucleotides in length.
Source: RNAcentral